RNAcentral lists this ribosomal RNA (250 nucleotides) under uncultured prokaryote. Its description in RNAcentral is "partial 16S rRNA". It matches the Rfam family "Bacterial small subunit ribosomal RNA", at positions 525 to 775 of the family's 1533-position model. The record is from RNAcentral.
ACGUAGGGGGCAAGCGUUAUCCGGAAUUAUUGGGCGUAAAGAGUGCGUAGGUGGUUUUUUAAGCGUGAGGUGAAAGGCAAUAGCUUAACUAUUGUAAGCCUUGCGAACUGGAAGACUUGAGUGCAGGAGAGGAAAGUGGAAUUCCUAGUGGUGCGUUGAGUGGCGUAGAUAUGACGAGGAGCACCAAAGGCGAGGGCAACAAACUGUAUUAUAUCUCACACUGGGCCGCCGAACCGUCGCCAGCAUACAU